UACGGAGGGUCCGAGCGUUAUCCGGAAUCAUUGGGUUUAAAGGGUGCGCAGGCGGUAAAGUAAGUCAGUGGUGAAAUCCUGCAGCUCAACUGCAGAACUGCCAUUGAUACUGCUAUACUUGAAUAUAGUCGAAGUGGGCGGAAUGUGACAUGUAGCGGUGAAAUGCUUAGAUAUGUCACAGAACACCGAUAGCGAAGGCAGCUCACUAGACUAAAAUUGACGCUCAUGCACGAAAGCGUGGGGAGCGAACAGG
This 253-nucleotide ribosomal RNA is filed under the name uncultured prokaryote. Its description in RNAcentral is "partial 16S ribosomal RNA". It matches the Rfam family "Bacterial small subunit ribosomal RNA", at positions 524 to 776 of the family's 1533-position model. The record is from RNAcentral.